Molecule: transfer RNA, 76 nt
Filed under: Firmicutes bacterium CAG:137
Lineage: Bacteria; Bacillati; Bacillota
Also listed under: 6 other names
Description: transfer RNA-Met(CAT)
Rfam family: tRNA
About the family: Transfer RNA (tRNA) molecules are approximately 80 nucleotides in length. Their secondary structure includes four short double-helical elements and three loops (D, anti-codon, and T loops).
Source: RNAcentral
GGCGGCAUAACUCAGCUGGUAGAGUACCCGGUUCAUACCCGGUAUGUCAUCUGUUCGAAUCAGAUUGCCGCUACCA